This 208-nucleotide ribosomal RNA is filed under the name uncultured bacterium. RNAcentral's name for it is "partial 16S ribosomal RNA". It matches the Rfam family "Bacterial small subunit ribosomal RNA", at positions 568 to 774 of the family's 1533-position model. The record is from RNAcentral.
UGCGUAGGCGGCUUACUAAGUCAGAUGUGAAAGCCCCGGGCUUAACCUGGGAACUGCAUUUGAUACUGGUAGGCUAGAGUAUGAUAGAGGGGGGUAGAAUUCCUGGUGUAGCGGUGAAAUGCGUAGAUAUCAGGAGGAAUACCAGUGGCGAAGGCCGGCCCCCUGGAUCAAUACUGACGCUGAGGUACGAAAGCGUGGGUAGCGAACA